ACGACGUAGCAUUGUACUAGAGGCUCCUUGACCAGCAAGUCUGCCAAAUACGACACAAGCUAACAAGGAACUACCCCCCAAACGGUUUUCUCCAUGAAUACCACCAACGAUUUCGCCAGCAGCAAAGAGACCAUCGAUGACAUUUCCAUUAGUAGACAAGACGCGAGACUGAGUAUCAACCUGAACACCACCCAUGGUAUAAUGCAAAACGGGGACAACCUCACCAACAGUAAAAGUGUCAGUAAGCUCUAACGGGGUUUUUCCAAAGUAUUUUCUUCCAAACUCAUCAGGAAUCUCCCCCUUGGCAGCACGAUUAUACUCGGAAAAUGUAGAUGCUAAUUCGUCUUUAGUACAGUUCAACGUAGAACACAAUUCCUCAGCCUUCAUCUUUUUCAUCAAUCCUUUGAAGCUAUAAAAUUUGAUAAAGUUAGCAACCUCUUCGGCAGCAGCGCUAUUAAGAACUAGAUACACCGGAGAUUUAAGCUUCAUCAUUUCGCCCGUAACAUAAUCUCUGUAUCCCAAUUCAUCACAAAAACGACGUCCCUGAGAAGUUAACAAAACGGCACCUGAACCUCGAAGGGCUUCAGCAGCCAAAAAUUUUGUCAAAGCAGUAGGGUCCUUAGGAUCUACGAAACCUGUUGGGUGAAUUUGUACAAGAUCCAAGUCUACUGUGCUACCACCGAUGGACAUAACCAUUUUAUGGCCGUCACCCGUGCAAUAGGGACCAUUUGUAGUACUUAAAGAAAGAGCUUCAGGAUGAUAGAGCUUCAAAAGUGAAUCAUCACUGUAAUCGGCAGCAUAUCCACCCGUGGCGAGUACUACAGGACCAUAAACAGUAUGGUUACUUUUAUCGCUCAAGUCCAUGUAUUCCACACCAAAAACCUUGUCGUGAUUGGGAUUUGUCAAUAGACGAGUUACACGAGCAUUCUUCUUAAUUUGUAAACGAUCGGGAUGGCUAGCCGCAAACUUUUCAGUUUGAUCAACCAAAACAAAAGCCAAUGGCUUAAAAGGAUAGUCAGGAUGGGUACCACGAUGGGUACGGGGCUCAGAGUGGCCGGCCAAACGAGAAAGUUGAUCCAUUUGUAACCCAAAUCGUUCGGAUAACCAAUCGACAGCACUGCUUGACUUGGAAGUCAAGGUUCUCAAAAGUUCGGGUUUUGCCUUGGACUUUGCGGAGAGGAUGGAAUCAUUAUAGAAAGUAUUUACACUGUCGGAAACAUGCUGAUCGAACUGUAAUUGAGUAGGAGCAGCAUUAAUACCACUAGCGGCUUUGACGCUAUUUCCUCCAAAAGCAGCUAAAAGAUUGUUAGUUAAUAAAAUAACAAACAGAAGAAAUUAAUAGUUUAAUAUAGACAAAUAGUAAGGAGCACAAAAGAAAUGAGUCAACCAAAGAAAUACACGAAGGGACAUGCAUGAGUACAGUGAGAUUAGAAUUUACCGAUUAAGAACCACAAUAUGCCAGACGUAUUGAUAAAGUGACAUCCUGAAUAUCUGAGAUUUAUUUCGAAACCAAUUGCU
Non-coding RNA from Schizosaccharomyces pombe (fission yeast), 1518 nucleotides. The record is from the annotation of a GenBank genome assembly. Lineage: Eukaryota; Fungi; Ascomycota; Schizosaccharomycetes; Schizosaccharomycetales; Schizosaccharomycetaceae.